GUCGAACGGGCUUUUCUGAGGUAGCAAUACUUUAGAAAAGCAAGUGGCGAACGGGUGCGUAACACGUGAACAAUCUACCUUUAAGUGGGGAAUAGCUCGUCGAAAGGCGAAUUAAUACCGCAUGUGGUCAGGUCUCGCAUGAGAUUUGAACUAAAGUCAGGGACCGCAAGGCCUGACGCUUUUAGAGGAGUUCGCGGCCUAUCAGCUAGUUGGCGAGGUAAUGGCUCACCAAGGCUAAGACGGGUAGCUGGUCUGAGAGGAUGAUCAGCCACACUGG
This 277-nucleotide ribosomal RNA is filed under the name uncultured Opitutales bacterium. RNAcentral describes it as "partial 16S ribosomal RNA". It matches the Rfam family "Bacterial small subunit ribosomal RNA", at positions 61 to 316 of the family's 1533-position model. The record is from RNAcentral. Lineage: Bacteria; Pseudomonadati; Verrucomicrobiota; Opitutia; Opitutales.